UCGGUAAAACUCGUGCCAGCCACCGCGGUUAUACGAGAGACCCCAGUUGAUAUAUACGGCGUAAAGAGUGGUUAGGAGAAUAGAAAAAUAAAGUCAAAUGACCUCUAAGCCGUUGUACGCAUUACGAGAACAUGAAGCCCUCCCACGAAAGUAACUUUACCACCUCCGACCCCACGAAAGCUAAGAAACAAACUGGGAUUAGAUACCCCACUAUGA
RNAcentral lists this ribosomal RNA (216 nucleotides) under Schizodon nasutus. RNAcentral describes it as "partial small subunit ribosomal RNA". Lineage: Eukaryota; Metazoa; Chordata; Actinopteri; Characiformes; Anostomidae. The record is from RNAcentral.